RNAcentral lists this ribosomal RNA (1335 nucleotides) under Carea varipes. Its description in RNAcentral is "16S ribosomal RNA". The record is from RNAcentral. Lineage: Eukaryota; Metazoa; Arthropoda; Insecta; Lepidoptera; Nolidae.
GAGGGGGAUAAAUUAAUAAAUUUUAAUUAAUAAAAAAAUUUUUUAUAUGAGAAUGGGGGUUUUAGUAUAAAUAAUUGAAAAAAUUAAUUUAAUUUAUAGUUAAUUAGUAUUGUAAAAGAAUUUUGAAAUAAUUGAAAUAAAAUUUUUUGGAAAGUAAAUUUCAUUUAUUGUAUCUUGUGUAUCAGAGUUUAUUAAUAAAAAUUUAUAUGUAAAAUAAAUUCUCGAAUUUAAAAGAGAUAAUUAAUUAAAAAAUUUACUGUUGCAUAAGUAUUUUUCAUAGUUAAUUUGAAAUGAAAUGUUAAUCGUUUUUAAAUAUAUCUAGUUUUUUUAGAAAAAAAUUUAAUUUUAAAUUAUUUCAAAAAAUUGUUAAUUAAUUAAUAACUUUUUGAAAUAAUUUUAUAUUUUAAGGGAUAAGCUUUAAAUUAAAUUUAUAUAAUUAAUUGUUUAUGAAAUAUUUGAAAAUUAUAUAAUUUAAAUUGUUAAUAAAUUAUAAUUUAUUAUAAAUAAUUUCAAAUUAAAUAAAAUUUAAUAAAAAUUUAUAAAUUUAUAAAAAAAUAAUUUUUAAUUUUAAAAAAUUAGAUAUAAUGAUAAAAUUAGUAUAUAAAUUAAUUUAUUUAAAAUUAAUUUAAUAAAAUUAAUAUAAAGGAAUUCGGCAAAAUUUUAUAUUCACUUGUUUAUCAAAAACAUGUCUUUUUGAAAAUAAUAUAAAGUCUAAUCUGCCCACUGAUUUUAAAAUUAAAGGGCUGCAGUAUUUUGACUGUACAAAGGUAGCAUAAUCAUUAGUCAUUUAAUUGAUGACUUGUAUGAAAGAUUGGAUGAAAUAUAAACUGUCUUUAAAUUAAUAAAAUAGAAUUUAAUUUUUUAUUUAAAAAGUUAAAAUAAAUAAAAAAGACGAGAAGACCCUAUAGAGUUUUAUAAAUUUUUUACUUAAAAUUAUUUAUAAAAUUAAUUAUUAAAAUUAAAAAAUUUAUUUUAUUGGGGUGAUAAAAAAAUAAAUAAAACUUUUUUUAAAAUUAACCAUAAAUAAGUGAAUAAUUGAUCCAAUUUUAUUGAUUAUAAGAAUAAAUUACCUUAGGGAUAACAGCGUAAUUUUUUUUUUUAGUUCAAAUAAAAAUAAAAGUUUGCGACCUCGAUGUUGGAUUAAGAUAAAAUUUAAAUGCAGAAGUUUAAAAUUUUUGAUCUGUUCGAUCAUUAAAAUCUUACAUGAUCUGAGUUCAAACCGGUGUAAGCCAGGUUGGUUUCUAUCUUUUUAAAAAUAAAAUAUUUUAGUACGAAAGGAUUAAAUAUUUAAAUUAAAUUUAUAAAUUAAGAAUAUUAUUAAAAUUUAAGAUAAAU